CCGGGUCCCGCCACCCCGGAGCCCAAAGCUGCCCGGCCGGUGGCCCAAACCCGCUUCCUCGGCCCCUGGCCUCUGGAGUGCAUUUCCUUGUGCUCCCGAUCUCUGGGCAGAGUGUUCCUAAAGGUUCAUAUCAUCGCAUUUUUUUUUUUUUUUUUAAGUAAUAGUGAGCCCGACAGCUUCUUACUUGGGUCGAUUUUCAAAAACCCUACCUUAUCGGAGCAUGGCACUUGUGUCCAGCAUCUUGAGGGCUCCAUGACAGAUAGGCUGUACUUUUAUUUCUGGCUUUGAGUGUGACUUACAAGUUAAGGUUACACAAUGACUAUCACUGCAAAGAGCUCUCACAGUGGCUUGGGUCCACCGCUUUUCAAAACCUGCUUGGGAAAAUGCUUUCCGGUGUCUAAAUGGCAUUGCCGUUUAAAAAAGUUAUUUUCCUGUUGUCUCAUGAAAUUAUUAUUAACUUAUAUAAAUGUGGGGGAAGUUAAACUUCUCUAGGGCUUGUAGAAAAAGGUGAUUGACAAAGAUUUAGUAAAUGAUUUGACACAGCACUGAAUACCUAUUUUGUGCUUCAUAUUAAUUAUAGUGGAUUAAAAAUAUUAACAUUUAUUGGAAAUUCUGUGUGCCAGGCACAGGGUCUGUUACUUGAAACGUAAGGGACAUUUUUGACCCUCUCCAAACCUCUGAGGGCUGCAGGAUAUUACAGUUAGUAGAAUGGGAAACUGAGGCACAAACAGGCUAAGUAGCUUGCUCAAGUUCACACAACCGCAAGAGUGAGACUUGGAUUUCAGCGCAGACAGACUGACUCUGGAGCCAUACUACUACUUUUUUACACUAUUAAAUUUCGUGAUUUUUAAGAAGUUUUAUUGAAGUAUAGUUGAUUUAUAAUGUGUUAAUUACUGCUGUAGAGCAAAGGGAUUCAGUUGUAUUAUAUCCAUUCUCUUUCAGAUUCUUUUCCAAUAAAGAUUAUCACAGAAUAUUGAUUAGAGAUCCCUGUGCUGUACAACAGAUCUUGAAAGAGAAAACUAAUAUAUUCAGAGCUACUGGAGAACCGUUGAAGACACACUGUGUGCUGCAGCCUUUAGAUAACCUGGAGGCUGAAAAAUUCCCUCUCCUCUCUGCUAAUCUCAUCCAAUUAAUAAACACUUGGGGACACCUGCCAUUUAUUAAUGGUCUGCUGUCCCUUUCCUUUCCAGAACACUCUCCCUUUUGAAGGCCAGGUUACCUUUGAAAAAAUGAGACUCGAUGCAUACAUAACUCUGGUUUAAAGCUUUGGGUGACACCCCAUUAACCUCCGCUGUAAUGGAAGGGAUUUUUGGCUGUCUGUCCUUCAAGGCUCUUUGCAUUAUCUCCCCGAUUCCCCUUUCCAGUUUUAUUGCUUUUGAAAUCUCCAAUAUCUCACCCUGCCCUCAAAACACCAUGCAAUUUUGUUUUCGUGGCUCUCUCCAUCUUUGCUCAGGCUGAUAAUCACUCUGGGUAAUAUUCCCUGUCGUCCUCUGGUGACUUCUAACCAAGCCACCUCUUUGAAGUUUUCUGGGUCUCUUACCCCACCUGGAAUGGACUUAAAUGUUCCCUCACUUCAUCCCUAACCUUCCCUCCCUGGCUCACAAACCACUGCUCCCGCGAAACUUGUCUCCCUCUUGUGUCGAGAAGGUCCCAUGCCAUUUUCAUCUCUGUUUAAAGGCAAAGGUAAGGGAAAUGGAAUAAGCCAUAUAACUGAGCCUCUUGGGAGGCUUUCUCAAGGCCUUGAGAUUGGAAGAAGGAAUAGGAUUUGCCGAUGUAGAGGGUAGACAUUUCAAGUGAGACGAAUUCUGAUGGUAGGCAUGAGAUGCAAGAAAGCCUCCCAAUUUAAUCAGAGGGCUGGGGAGCGGUGGCAGAUGAGGCUGGCGAAGUUGCGGCGUUGAGAGUGGGACACAGCCACCACGCCAUGUGCAUUUAGCAUAUGUUUGGUUUGGGGAGCAGAGGUUCUUUCUGUCCAUUUGACUUGCUUGCUUCAUUUUUCUCUUUUGGCAGAACUUUGGAGGGUUUAUUGAUUUUUUUUGUGAUCGUUUUGAAAACCAUAAGAUGAUAUUUAAGAAAUAAUACUUUGGGAGUUCCUGUUGUGGUUCAGCGGACACGAACCUGACUAGUAACCAUGAGGAUGUAGGUUCGAUCCCUGGCCUCACUGGGUGGCCGUGAGCUAUGGUCUGGGUCGAAGACAUGGCUUGGAUUCCGCAUUGCCGUGGCUGUGGCGUAGGCCAGCGGCUGUGGCUCUGAUUGGACCCCUAGCCUGGGAACUUCCAUGUGCUGCCCCUUCGAUCUUGCUUAGCAUGUAAGCUUGGCAUGACCUUUCAUUCUGUAAGCUUAGCAUGAUCUUUCAUUUUUCCUGGAUUUACCUUGUUCAUGUGAGUAAAACUUCCUUCAGAUUUUUACUCAUAUCUCCGAUCUUCCGUGCCUAUCUUCAUUCCAGUAGCAACUGCACCCACACACUCUUUAUCCCCCUCGCUUGCUUUAUUUUCUCCAUCGCGCUGAUUCCUGUGUAACCAUACAAUGGAUUUGACUAAUUCAUCUUGUUGCUUGUCAUCUGCGUCCCCAUUUACGGUGUCAGCUCCAUGAAGCACUCAAAUAUUUCUUGGGUGAGUGAAUGCACAUUAUAGUACAUUGUUUCAUAUUGUCGUUAGAGUAUCUUCUCUAUUGCAUAUUCUGUUUUCACUCCCUAUCACCAAAUAUAUUUCUGCACAGGUAUAAUAAUUACCCUCUUUCAUGGUUACAUAAGACUAUUUAGGGUGAAGGUGCAGUAAUGGCAUGACUCCUGCCUCUAUUGACAUUUUGCUUGUAUUUGUUUCUCUGGAAUUAGUUGUUUAGAGUGAAUUCCCACAGUAGAGCUACAGCAUGUAAUUAAUUUAAUUAAGUAAUAAUGUAAUUUCAAGGAUGUGAGGCUUUUAUGGUGCUUGUUCAUAGGAGAUGCUUGACUAGGAAAGGGAGCAUUUCUCUCUCUUGUUUCUCAACGAAGGCAAAUUUUUUUAUUCAAGUAUAGUUGAUUUACAAUGUUGGGCCAAUUUCUGCUGUAGAGCAAAGCGACCCAGUCAUGUGUAUUCCCUUUCUCAUAUUAUUUUUCAUCAUGGUCUAUCCCAAGAGAUUGGCUGUAGUUCCCUGGGCUGUACAGCAGGACCUCAUUGCUUAUGCAUUCUAAAUGGAAUAGUUUGCAUCUGCUAACCCCAAACUCCCCAUCCAUCCCACUCCCUCCUCCCUCCCCCUUGGCAACCACUAGUCUGUUCUCUGAGGCUGCCAGUCUGUUUCUGUUUUGUAGGCAACAAACACAUUUGAAGCCCGCAUGUGCUAAGUACCUUGUCCUAGGGCAAGUGAGAGACAGAAGAUAAAUCUUUGAGGCGCUGUCCUUGGCAGAGCCUUCCCCGGGGCACUUAUAGAUUGCCAAAAAAGACAGACUGGAAUAAGGAUUUCGCAGCGAUGUCAGGUCAGACAGGUGGGGAGAAAGCUUCGUGGGGGAGACCAUCAGGUUCCAGCUGGGCUUUGAAGGAUGAGUAGGAUUUACGAGGCAGGCAUGAGGAAACCAUGAGUUGGGGCCCCAGAGAUGUGACACUGCUUGACAUGCUGUUGGGUGAGAACAAACGGGCCUGAAGUGUAAGGUGGGGAAGGCAGACAGAUGAAUUACCUGGUGUAUGGCAAAGGCUUGGCUUGCUUGCUCACAUGUUUGGGUGCUAACCUGCAAACAUUCGGGGAAGGUAUUGAUGGAAGGUCAUGUUUCACUGCUUUUCAGCCAGGUAACCUCAGGUAAGUUCCAUUACCUCUCUGACCCUGGCUUUUCUCAUCUGUUACACUGGAACAAAACAGCUACUUUGCUAGAUUAUUACAAGGAAUAAAGACACGGGAGUUCCUGUUGCAGCUCAGUGGAUUAAGAAGCCAACAUAGUGUCUAUGAGGGUGUGCGUUUGGCAGCUCGGAUCUGGUAGUGCUGUGGCUGUGGGGUAGGCCAGCGGCUGCAGCUCUGAUUUGAUCUCCAGCCGGGGAACUUCCAUAUGCCACAGAUGUGGACAUAAAAAAAAAAGAAAAAAA
Molecule: long non-coding RNA, 4046 nt
Filed under: Sus scrofa (pig)
Lineage: Eukaryota; Metazoa; Chordata; Mammalia; Artiodactyla; Suidae
Description: lncRNA (ENSSSCG00005036861.1)
Source: RNAcentral